This 109-nucleotide ribosomal RNA is filed under the name Citrobacter koseri. RNAcentral describes it as "partial 23S ribosomal RNA". It matches the Rfam family "Bacterial large subunit ribosomal RNA", at positions 1 to 100 of the family's 2925-position model. Lineage: Bacteria; Pseudomonadati; Pseudomonadota; Gammaproteobacteria; Enterobacterales; Enterobacteriaceae. The record is from RNAcentral.
GGGUUGUGAGGUUAAGCGACCAAGCGUACACGGUGGAUGCCCUGGCAGUCAGAGGCGAUGAAGGACGUGCUAAUCUGCGAAAAGCGCCGGCGAGGUGAUAUGAACCCUU